CAUUUUACAGAGAGACAAAUAACGAGAAGGAUGCUAUGGACCCACAAAAUGCUACGUUGAUACCUACAAGGAAUCGACAUUGUAAAUGAAGUUGUGCAGAUUCAUCAUCGUACCCGGGUAAUCGAUCUCUUGCCAAUAAGACGUCAGGCUGCCCUGGGGAUCCAAUUGCAGAUCCAAACUACCAAGAUCGUGCCUAUACUUCUCCAAAAUAGUAUUUAUGCCAGUCGAGGUUCCGGCAAAGAUCAACCAAGAGCAGGAAGCAGGAGAAAUGAAACCACGCUGGCAAAAACCGCCAGGAUCAUGCUUCCACCUACUACCCGAUGGAGUCCGUUACAAGAGCAAUCUGGCGGAAUGGGAUUAACGGAAGUAGUGGCGAUGCAAUAGUAACAUGCGAGAAGUCUAACAAUGCAGUUACGGCCUG
Armigeres subalbatus is the source of this 421-nucleotide long non-coding RNA. RefSeq lists it as uncharacterized. The transcript is spliced from 3 exons. NCBI's taxonomy places the organism in Eukaryota, Metazoa, Arthropoda, Insecta, Diptera, Culicidae. The record is from RefSeq and is a predicted model, not a curated record.